UACAGAGGUCUCAAGCGUUGUUCGGAUUCAUUGGGCGUAAAGGGUGCGUAGGUGGCGCCGUAAGUCGGGUGUGAAAUUUCGGAGCUUAACUCCGAAACUGCAUUCGAUACUGCGGUGCUUGAGGACUGGAGAGGAGACUGGAAUUCAUGGUGUAGCAGUGAAAUGCGUAGAGAUCAUGAGGAAGACCAGUGGCGAAGGCGGGUCUCUGGACAAUUCCUGACACUGAGGCACGAAGGCCAGGGGAGCAAACGGG
This 253-nucleotide ribosomal RNA is filed under the name uncultured bacterium. RNAcentral's name for it is "partial 16S ribosomal RNA". It matches the Rfam family "Bacterial small subunit ribosomal RNA", at positions 524 to 776 of the family's 1533-position model. The record is from RNAcentral.